Carassius carassius (crucian carp) is the source of this 708-nucleotide long non-coding RNA. RefSeq lists it as uncharacterized. NCBI's taxonomy places the organism in Eukaryota, Metazoa, Chordata, Actinopteri, Cypriniformes, Cyprinidae. The transcript is spliced from 3 exons. The record is from RefSeq and is a predicted model, not a curated record.
UUCACCGCCAAAGACGUUCCAGCACGUGGAUGAACGCGGGAGAACCAUAAACAGAGCGGUUACCAGCAGCGCGUGCAGACCUACUCCCAUGAUCAGCCUAAUAAUUAAAGCUUUCCUGGAACCGCUGCCGUACUGCGUAGCAUCGGGCACAUCAGGGGCCCAUGACAUGAUACAGAGGGACAGCUUAACUAUUAAAUAUCCAUCACGCCACGCCACAUCAGUCCUAAUGCAAUCAGAAACACAUGACUACAUCUCCCGGCCCCCACUUCCAUCCACAAUGAUUAAAUGACAGUUCGAUUUGAUUGGGAAGAGGGGGUGUCUACUGUAGCUGUGCAGACUAAUACGAGGCUGUGUACUUCAGAGAGUAAGCACAUGGGCUGUGGUCUUUUUGCUGUAUUAUCAUUUUAAUGAAGCAGGGUAUUUCUUUUGUGGUCGGGAGGCUCUAAUGCAGUUGUCCAAGACUCCCCUUUCAUGUGUCUUCUUCAAACGCUCCAGGUUGUUAAACAAAUGGAUGUGUCUGAGUAUAGGAUGCUGAUGUGGCCAGGCUGCUGUUGACUGGGCCAAUUAAGGCUCGGAGAGAAAAGAAUAAGGCAUGUCUGUUCACUCACUCAAACGGUCAUGCAAUACAGUCUGGCUGCUUCGUGUUUAUUAAAAUCACCUGGAUCCUUAAGGAUUUUGCAGAACACACUAGUUUGACAUUACUUGUUC